GUGAGGAAUAUUGGUCAAUGGACGGAAGUCUGAACCAGCCAUGCCGCGUGCAGGAAUAAGGUCCUAUGGAUUGUAAACUGCUUUUAUUCUGGAAUAAACCUCUUUACGUGUAGGGAGCUGAAGGUACCGAAGGAAUAAGCACCGGCUAACUCCGUGCCAGCAGCCGCGGUAAUACGGAGGGUGCAAGCGUUAUCCGGAAUCAUUGGGUUUAAAGGGUCCGCAGGCGGGCUAUCAAGUCAGAGGUGAAAUCCCACAGCUUAACUGUGGAACUGCCUUUGAAACUGAUGGUCUUGAAUUAAGUGGGCGUUGGCGGAAUAUGACAUGUAGCGGUGAAAUGCAUAGAUAUGUCAUGGAACACCGAAAGCGAAGGCAGCUAACGAUACUUAUAUUGACGCUCAUGGACGAAAGCGUGGGUAGCGAACAGGAUUAGAAACCCCUGUAGUCC
RNAcentral lists this ribosomal RNA (445 nucleotides) under uncultured bacterium. RNAcentral describes it as "partial 16S ribosomal RNA". It matches the Rfam family "Bacterial small subunit ribosomal RNA", at positions 354 to 796 of the family's 1533-position model. The record is from RNAcentral.